RNAcentral lists this unclassified non-coding RNA (337 nucleotides) under Hevea brasiliensis (rubber tree). The record is from RNAcentral. Lineage: Eukaryota; Viridiplantae; Streptophyta; Magnoliopsida; Malpighiales; Euphorbiaceae.
CCCUUUUGAUUUUGAACUGUUUGAGGUGAGUUAGGUCUGGUUUCUUAAUAAGCCGGAGUAUAUUUUACCAUAAUUUAUUUUUCUUUUUCUUUUUAACUUUUUUAUGCAUAGUCAAGUCAAAUAAUGGAGUAAUUUUCAUGUUCCAUUGACAGGUAAUCUUUGAUUUUCUUUUCUUGGCACUUCUGGCUGUUGGAGGUUCAUUGGCUAGUUCAUUCUUGUGCUUCUCAAAUGUACUUCUUUGUUCUACUUAGCGUUUAUCAACUAGUUGUAUGUAGUCAUAUAGAAUUGGGAUUUACAUUAAUUAAUAACCAUGGUAUCCAAAGAAUUGAAGAAGUUG